This is a non-coding RNA of Leptonychotes weddellii (Weddell seal), 114 nucleotides long. NCBI's taxonomy places the organism in Eukaryota, Metazoa, Chordata, Mammalia, Carnivora, Phocidae. The record is from RefSeq and is a predicted model, not a curated record.
UGACUGAAGAAGUGCAAGGACCUCUUGCAGUCAAGAAGCAAUUUGUUGAAUUUACCAUCAAGGAAGCUGCAAGGUUUAAAAGAGGAGUCUUAAUUCAGCAACUUGAGAAGGUAG